RNAcentral lists this unclassified non-coding RNA (256 nucleotides) under Hevea brasiliensis (rubber tree). The record is from RNAcentral. Lineage: Eukaryota; Viridiplantae; Streptophyta; Magnoliopsida; Malpighiales; Euphorbiaceae.
UUUUUUUGGUGUGAAAAUUGCUUGGCUAUAGUUGGUUUUCAAGGCCUGUGUUGGGGGUCCUAUAUAUGAAUAUAUAUAGGAGAAAUAUGCUAGCUAUUUAGGUUCAUAUACUAAAAUUGAUUCAGGGUGAUGCAAUAUAUAAAUGAGAAUCAGCUAAUGAGUAGCAAACUCCAAGGCGAAAAGAGCCAAGGCUAGUCUAUGGAGGGUUGGGUUGGUGGAUGUGUAGGCAAAGGGACUUUUUGAAGGAGGAAGAAGG